This is a long non-coding RNA of Odocoileus virginianus texanus, 479 nucleotides long. RefSeq lists it as uncharacterized. Lineage: Eukaryota; Metazoa; Chordata; Mammalia; Artiodactyla; Cervidae. The record is from RefSeq and is a predicted model, not a curated record.
UGUCUAGGUAACCAGUCAUCUUGGUUACCCGCCCAGCCAGGCAGGGGCCCAGGAGUCUCCAGGGCGGGGAUCUCCGGCAAAAGAGGCUUCCUGACUUCACUCAUUCAUUCAUAAGACGAUGAACACCAAGGGCCCGCUGCCCAAACCAAGAUGCAGUCCAGUAACUCUAAGCUGCCACUAGCUCCCUCGCGAUCUUUCUUCUCCAGCCCGGAGAUGGGCAUGACUUCCUCGCAAAGCAAAGGUGCUUCAUGGGCGAGGAGACCCAGGUCCACCGAUGCCCGAGAAUGAAGCAGACCCAGAGACAGGAGAGCCCGGAUGAAACUAGUGGAUGCUGGUACCCAGCCCGUCGCACGCGUCUAAUGACACCUCGGAGUUCUGUGUUUGUGGGUCAUCCUCUAUGUUGCCUGCCACUUGUAUUCUUUCUAGGUUGUGAAUUUUUUAAAUAUCUCUGUAGGAAAAUGAAAUACUUAGGCAAUGAG